GACAAGACGGCUGGAGCUAGCGGCAGCGACGGCAAAGCCCUGGCUCCCAGGACUGAGCACUUUGAAAAUGUGAUUCCACUGCCUUCUGACCACCAUUGUUUCAAUGACAAAUCAACUGUUAAUUACAUUGAUGCUCCUUUGCAUAUGGUGAGUUGUUUUCUUUUUGUUGAUUUCAAAACUUCUUUUUGUUUUUCAGUAUUUUAGCUAUGAUACAUCUAUGGGUCAUUUUGUAUUUGUCUUACUUGGAGUUGGUUAACCUUCUUGGAUCCAUAGACUUACAUAUUUUUCUUCAAAUUCAGGAAGUUUUUAGCCAUUAUUACUUUAAAUAUUUUUCUGUCCUUUUAUUCUCUACAUUUUCAGGUACUCCCAUUACAUGUGUGUUAUUUAGUACAAUUGAUGUUGUCCCAUAGGGCUCUGAGGCUCUAUUCUUUUUUCUUCAAUCCUUGUUCUUUCUAUUCUUCAGAUUAUAUGACUUCCAUUGCUUAUCAUCAAGUCCUCUGAUUCUUUCUUCUGCCAUCUCAAAUAUAUUGGUGAGCCCCUAUAGUGAAUUUUAUUUUAUUUUAUUUUAUUUACUAUAAUCUUCAAAUGCAGAAUUUCUAUUUCUUUCUUUUUUAAGAAAUAAUUUCCAUGUACUUAAUGAAAAUCUCUAAGUUUUGAUCCUUUGUUGUCACACUUUAGUUUUUUAUACAUAGCUUCCUUUAGUUCUUUAAACAUAUUUAUAGUAGCUGCUUUAAAAUCUUUGCUAAUCUGGAGCAUCUGAGUACAUUUAGUUUCUAUUGCCUACUUUUUUCUAAGUAUGGAUCUCACUUUCCUGUUUUUUUACGUCUCAUAUUUUUUUGUUGAAAAUUGGACAUUUUAGAUAAUAUAUUGUACAUUCUAAAUUCUUGUAUUUUUCCCCAAAGGUUGUUGUGCUGGGUUUCUGUUUGUUCAUUAGUUUAGUCACUUGCCAGGCUUAUUCUAUGAAAUCUCCCUUGUCAAUUGUUACCACUGGUGUCUCUGUCUACUUAUUUUAAUUUUGCAUUUGUUCUUAACCUUGACUUUCUAGGAGCUUUCCUCUAUCUGCAGAGUUUAGUAGUUAGCCAUUUAUUCAUGAAAAUUGUGUUUAAACAGAUUAAACCAGUAAAGCUCUGUCAUCUGCAGAUGGAUCUGUAUGUAGGCAACAGUUAAGUUCACAUCAUUUCAGUACUUUGGAAACCAAAGAAAGGCAUAUGAGAGUAUGAAGAGAUACAGGCCUAGUUAGCCAAUCAUCUGCAAUAAAAAAGUACACAUUUUAUCACAGAAGAGAAAUGCACUUUGUAAUAAUCUUCAAGCUGGGGUAGGCUACCUCUUUAGAAUGUGAAAACUUUCUAGGAAUACAAGGAUAAGGAUCAUUUAAAAGGAAUCAAUUUCCAGAUUCUUUACUUCCAACUCUUUCCAAAAAUUAAUUUGAGUGUAAACUUGACUGAGUUCACAAUAGCCCUUCCAUCACUUUACAAAAGUAUGUAUAUAAAUGUUUCACACUCUGAGCUCUGAGAAAAGGGGAAGACUUAAUUAAUGAUUAAUUAAGUUACCACAAUCCACAGGGAAUUUCUCUGUCUUCUCAAUUUAUGUUAUGAGUAAAAAGUAGAUUAGGAAUGUAGUAUUUUGUCCCAUGUUGGGAUGUUUUGAAUGCAGAUAUAUGGUAGAAUAGGGUGGUGGAAUUAGUGAUGAUUUCCAUUUAAGGGCUGUUCCUUUUCCUUGCUCCUAGCUGUUGUCAAUGAAUAUGUACACAUAAGGAAGCAAAGAAAGGAUUAAUAAGAAACACUGAAUGCUAAAAGGAGUACUUUUAUACAUGUAAGCAUAAAAAAUUCUUUCCAGCUGUUCUCAUUAAUUUUCCCAGGACAUGUCAUAAGCUGAAAAGAAAAACUUCCUUGAAAUGCCAAAACAGUUAAGUUUACUGGUGCUAAAUUUUUAAAAUGUUAUUGAAAAAAAUUUCUGGUGCUACCAAAAUUUUCAGAACACAUUAGAUAAAACUUACCAUUAAGACGUUAAGUAUCUAAUGUGAAAGAAAGUAGGUGGCAUAUAGAAGUUCCCAGGCUAGGGGUCAAAUUGGAACUGUAGCUGACCAACACAGCCACAGCUGGGGCACAUCUGCAACCUACACCACAGCUUACAGCAACACUGGACCCUUAACCUGGACCCUUGAUACUGAGCAGGGCCAGGUAUCAAACUCACAUCCUCAUGGAUACUAAUCAGACUUAUUAACUUUGAGAUACAACAGGAACUUCCUAAAAUAUGUGUCUUUUGUAUAUACACAACUAUAUAUAAAAUAGAGAGAGAUAACAAGGACCUACUGUAUAGCACAGGGUAUCCUAUUCAAUACUGUGUAAUAAUCUAUAUGAGAAAAGAAUCUGAAAAGGAAUGGAUAUAUGUAUAUUUAUAACUGAUUCACUUUGUUGUACACCUGAAACUAACACAACUUUGUAAGUCAACUAUACUUCAAUAACAUUUAUUUUUUAAAAAAGGAGCUUCACCACACAAUGUGUUUAAACAUUAGCAACAACAUAAAAAAAUAGACUAUUUAGCAACCACAUAGGAGUUUGACAAAUAUAGUUUUAGUUUUAAAAUAUGAUUUUCGUCUGACCUAUUUAAAAGUUAAAGUUUUGAGGUAUAAUAUUGAUGAGGUAAGAAUGUAAUCAAUCACCUGAAAAGAAGAAUUACUAAAAGACUAAAUUAGUUACCUCCGCCAAAGAAUAGUCUGUUUUGUCUAAAGAAAAAAUUUUUUUAAAUAUAUGUAUAUCUUUCAUUUAAUCAAUUUUAUGCUAAAAAUGAUUAUACUGAUAACCCAAUCUAAAAGACAGUUUUUUAAUUUUUAGAGCCUUAUGUUCAACA
RNAcentral lists this long non-coding RNA (2850 nucleotides) under Sus scrofa (pig). RNAcentral's name for it is "lncRNA (ENSSSCG00040019051.1)". The record is from RNAcentral. Lineage: Eukaryota; Metazoa; Chordata; Mammalia; Artiodactyla; Suidae.